UUCGAUUGUGCCAGCAGCCGCGGUAAUACGUAGGGUCCAAGCGUUAAUCGGAAUUACUGGGCGUAAAGCGUCCGCAGGUGGCUUGAUAAGAUAGACGUGAAAUCCCUGGGCUCAACCUAGGAAUUGCGUUUAUGACUGUCUCGCUAAAGUAUGGGAGAGGGGGGUGGAAUUCCGCGUGUAGCAGUGAAAUGCGUAGAGAUGCGGAGGAACACCGAUGGCGAAGGCAACCCCCUGGCCUAAUACUGACACUCAUGGACGGAAGCGUGGGGAGCAAACAGGAUUAGAUACCCUGGUAGUCCACGCCGUAAACGAUGUCGACUUGGAGGUUGUUCCCUUGAGGAGUGGCUUCCGGAGCUAACGCGUUAAGUCGACCGCCUGGGGAGUACGGCCGC
RNAcentral lists this ribosomal RNA (392 nucleotides) under uncultured bacterium. Its description in RNAcentral is "bacterial SSU rRNA". It matches the Rfam family "Bacterial small subunit ribosomal RNA", at positions 496 to 889 of the family's 1533-position model. The record is from RNAcentral.